CGGCGGUGCUGGGUGAGGAAGACCAGCGGUAACGUUCCGCUUCGCUUUCCACCAGGCAAAACUGCGGGUCAGGGGCGGCCCCGCGAGUUCUUACCGCAGAAAGGCUCAGCACCGAGGCGGAGUCCUCCUGCAGGUCAGCGGAGGUCAGCGGAGGCCACACCUUCCAAUCCACACUCAAAUCUGAGAGCUGGUGUCGCCUGGAAGGGCUGAGCUCUGCGAGGCUGCAGGGCGGGGCAGGCCUCCCUGUCCCCGAGGACUUCGACAUUAAUUACCACCGUGACUGCUUUCUGUGUCUCACUAUUUCCCUGGCACUUUUAGCCAUCUAACAUGGAGCUAAAGAAGGCUCCCGCCCGCAUCCCUCCAGAUGUCCCAACUCUGUGGUGGCAGGGAUAAGCGUGACAAUCAGGAAGGCCAAGCUAGAGCUUGGAGACUUCCUAGGGCUUGGUCUGACAUCACUCCCGGCAGUGAUAAUUAUAAGGCUCCUUUCCUCCCCUCUCCACGCCCCCAACAAGACAACACGGAGCAUUUAUAAAUAGGAGCUCCGGGGGGCACUUCUGGGAAGGCCGGCAGGGGUGGACGGCGCACUCUCAGGGAUAAUGCGAGGCAGGAAGCCCAGGGAGGGCGGGGCAGAGGUGAUGCACAGACUGCGCAUUGCCAGUGCUUUGCGAGGUGAUGUGGGAUGUCAGCUGCCAGCCUGGGUGGGGGCUGCCCUGCUGCAGGUUCAGAGUGUGCAGACAGAGUGAAGCAGAUGGGAUUGUCUUGUGUGUCAAGGGCGGGGCCGUGAGAUGAUCUGCAUUUUUUCUUCCCAGGGUUGGCAGGAACUGGAAAUAAUUGAAAGUUGUUAGGGUCCAACUCGCUGCCCUGAAAACACUAUCAUUACUCUUCUAAUGACUAACUGUGCCUUCCAGGAGGCAAUGCAGGCAGCUGAGAAGCCUGGCUCCUGGAAGGUGGGUGUGGGAGGCUGGCAGCCUGUAAUCUUCGGGCAUAAGAGUACUCUGCCCAGAGUCCCACCCCAGCUCCAGCCUCCAGAGGAACACCCCCAGGGUCCCUCUAGCCCUUCUGCAUGCAGAGUCCUGGGGAGGCUGACAGCAGGGACAUGGGAUCAGGUGCUGUGAACCCUUGUGACCUUGGCUCGAAUGGGGUUGGGAGUGGGGGUCCCUGGCCCCAAGUCCUGUGGGAGGGGUCUACCUCAGACCUCUCUUGUUCGUUUAUCCCGAGGUCCUGGUUCUCAGCAUGCUUUCCCAGCAUUCCUGGUGAUCCUCCACCAGGCCUCCCUCGCCUCCUUUGUCCUCCUCCCUACCAUUGGAAGGGUUUUCCUAAAGCACAGGAUUGGAAAUCUACCCAUGUACAUCCGGGUUCUCCAGGCAGGAGCCUCAGGGACACCUUCUUUUCAACCCCUACUCAGGUCCUUUCUUUUUUUAAAGUUUGUCUUUGAAUUACUCUGGUGACAUUUAAAGAUAAAGGAGAAUAUACUUUUCUUACCCAUCCCACCCAGUAACUGCGGCCUGUAUCUCAUGUGGAAUACAGAACUUUGUCCCUGCCAGUGGAUUCCACAGACACCUGUCCUUGAGCCCUACCUGUUUCUUGAUGUGCCCAUGGGCUCAGGAACCAUAAUGAGGUUCAGGUCUAUGAGGCUCUUCAUGUUUUGAAAGAAGAGAACUUUAAAGUGCUGUGACAGGCAGGAGUGGCAGGCAAGCUUCAAAGGCCC
RNAcentral lists this long non-coding RNA (1708 nucleotides) under Marmota monax (woodchuck). Lineage: Eukaryota; Metazoa; Chordata; Mammalia; Rodentia; Sciuridae. The record is from RNAcentral.